UUAUUUCUUUCACUUUUUUAAUUUUGUGCGGUGAUGAAGCAAUUUGUGGACUAGAGUUUCUGAUCAUUUAGCGGUUUCAAACCCCUAAAUGGUUGAAGACAAACCCUUGGCUGUCUGAGCAUUCUAUUUUUUUUAUAAAUUUCUUGUUCUUCUUUUCAAUUGUGGUUUUUUUGGGGUUUAUGAUGAUAACUAUAAUUAUCUUAGCGGAUUUCAGUGAGAUUUUAUUAUCAAUGAUCUCAUUGUUACACACACCGAAGCCCAAAUUAGUUUUUUUUUUCUAAUGCUGUGAUGAGGUGAAACACCAUAUGGUGUAAUAAGGGCAGUGGAAUUAGAGGGUUAUUUUAUAGCUUUCUCCGUGAGCCUAUUUUAUUAAACGACUUCUCCUUCCACUGAGCAUUAUGUCUGUUAUCUAAUUGUAUUAGAGUCCGAGUAAUUUAAAUUUAUGUUACAUAGGAAUAGUUUAAUAUUCGGAUUUUGAAUACGAGAUUUCUGAUUAUUGUGUGAUGGAUGGAUAUGAUUUUUGUAGAAGGCAAUAAAUUAGAGUCUCUGGUACGCUUUGUCAAUAGUGUAUACAGCGCUGUACGUUGCCAAGAAUGAAAUGGGGUGGAGAUUCUAGCACUAACACUAUUUCAAGUGUCUCUGUAUUCAGAUGCCUCUACAUUAUUUAGAUGAUAAAAUCUAAUCAAUGUUUCAUAUUAAGAUUUCAUGUUAUUAGUGUAGAUUCAAUUGAAGAUAAUUUAAAAAAUUAAUGGAUAAAUACAUACUAUUUGAAUGUUUGUGCUAUAAGGUUACUUUGCGUAACUUAGUCAAGGUUUUUGAUCCCUCAGCUUGAUGGUUUCAUUGCUUUAGGCUUGGCUUUAGAUUUGCAUGAUGAAACUGAUCAAUGUCCAGUAACUUUGAUCAAGAUCAAGUUUAAUUGAGGAAAGAGAUUGGCAUUCUUGUGUCUCAAGACAUGCAAGACAAUUGUGGCUAAGGCAUGAAAAGGGUAGGACAAAGUUGUGAUUGUGGCAUGGUUUGGUUAGGGAUUUACAUGAUGAACCUAAACAAUGUUGAAUAACUUUGAUCAAGAUCAAGUUUAAUUGAAGAAAGACAUUGACAUUGUUAUGUCUAAGGCAUGCAAGACAAUAUGUGGCUAAGGCAUGGUUUGGUUAGGGAUUUGUAUGAUAAACCUAAUCAAUGUCAAAUAACUUUGAUCAAGAUCCAAGUUCAAUUGAGGAAAGACAUUGGCAUUGUUAUGGUCAAGGCAUGCAAGACAAUGUGUGGCUAAGGGAUGAAAAGGGUAGGAUUAAGUUGUGAUUGUGGUAUGGUUGGGCUAAACAAGUUUAUGUGUUUAGUGUUGGUACAAGGAGUUGUAGAUUGUUUUGAGAACUAGAACUCUUUAUUUUUAUAAAUGACAUUAUUCUACACUUAACUAUGGUUAUUUAAGUGAUGAAUAUUCUUUUAAAUAAUUAAUUAAAUUAAUAAUUAAUGGGUUAAGUUUGAAAUUUAUUUAAUAUUUUACAUCACUUGAUUUAUUAUAUUAAAAUAGGUUAGUGGAUUUAUUACUUUUAAAAAUAUUAAAAGUGAUAAAU
RNAcentral lists this long non-coding RNA (1571 nucleotides) under Solanum tuberosum (potato). RNAcentral's name for it is "long non-coding RNA (STUB_LNC005888)". The stretch from base 280 to 398 matches the Rfam family "Small nucleolar RNA Z152/R70/R12/". Lineage: Eukaryota; Viridiplantae; Streptophyta; Magnoliopsida; Solanales; Solanaceae. The record is from RNAcentral.